UUCCUACGGGACGCAGCAGUGGGGAAUAUUGGACAAUGGGGGGAACCCUGAUCCAGCGACGCCGCGUGAGUGAAGAAGUAUUUCGGUAUGUAAAGUUCUAUCAGCAGGGAAGAAAAUGACAGUACCUGACCAAGAAGCCCCGGCUAACUACGUGCCAGCAGCCGCGGUAAUACGUAGGGGGCGAGCGUUAUCCGGAUUCACUGGGCGUAAAGGGAGCGCAGGCGGCACGGCAAGUCCGGUGUGAAAGCCCGGGGCCCAACCCCGGGACUGCACUGGAAACUGCCGGGCUGGAGUGUCGGAGGGGG
This 305-nucleotide ribosomal RNA is filed under the name uncultured bacterium. RNAcentral's name for it is "bacterial SSU rRNA". It matches the Rfam family "Bacterial small subunit ribosomal RNA", at positions 336 to 658 of the family's 1533-position model. The record is from RNAcentral.